UAAAUUAAAAAUACAAAGAAAAAAUUUGGCAUUUUUAAAAUUAAAUUAAAUUUAAAAUUAUUCCUAUUCAAACAGUUUUUGGCAAGUUAUUUGAUGAAUUUUGAUUUAAAAAUUAUUUUUUUGGUUCAAAUUUAGUUAGGGUUAGAAAAAAUCUUAAGCGACAAUGGAUGUCAGAAGAUUUGCAAAUGGAAGCGGGGAUGCUGACUCAUCGAAUUUUAUGCUUCGUCUAAUACCUGAUUAUUUCAAUCUUCCUCUUUUGGACAGGCAUAAUGACGAAUUACAUCACGAAAUUCACACACAAUAUCAACGAAGAUUUGAAAAUGAUGUACGCAGGUGUCAUCGGCAAUUGCGACAACAGAUGGGUAUACCUUUAACGGCUUUUAAGAUUGGUACACCUGCAAAUAUAGGGCAAAGUCGUUUAUUCGUAGGUUUAACCUUUGAAGAGGAAUAUAGUCGUACAUAUCGAUGGAAGCAACUAAAAUUUCAGAGAAAAUUGGACUUACUUAUUCAGAGUCGUUAUAAGCAAAGAAAAGAUGAACUAUUUACAGAAAUAUACGGGUAAUAUUGUUCACCAAAGUGACCGAUCGACCUGCUGCAAUGGAGAAUAAAAUGUAAUGGAAUACUAAAAUACCACUUAAAAAAUUGCGUAACACCGAAGAGCUUAAGAUGGCCCAAAAUAACUGAAUUUCUUCAAUGUUAAAGGAACUAUUGGAAAACGGUAGCAUUAACCUCAAUAUUAACUCAUUUUAGCUAAAGGCACAGCUUCUGAAAGGAAGAUGGCCUAUAACUUAUCUUUAAAGAAGAUUUUCUAAUAUUAAUUUAGGACACCAAAUAGAAGAGUUAUUCAAUAUCGUGAAGAAAAACUGCUUGUAUUUCUCUGAGAUGAUUAAUGGACAUUUAGUCUUGAAUUCCGAAAGAUGUCCAUACAAUCUGACAUGCAGAAAGCAAGACUGAAGACUAGGCUUAGCAAUUGAAAUGAUACAGAAAGAAAAUGUAUGUAUGAGUACUUCUCGUAGGUGAUUAAUGAAUACUACUGAGCACAAUUUGCAUGAAUCGCAUUCUAUGAUAUAUUAAGAGACUAAACGAUCAAACAAAAUCUAAAUUACAUAAAAAUGGAAUACGUUUGGAUUUUUUCUUGUAUGAUAUCUUUCGCAGUUAAUAUGAAUAACAUUUAAUAUGGACAAAGAAUUAGGAGUAGUUUGGAAAAACACUAAACUGAAAAUGUCUAUACAAGUUGGAAUCCGAACAAUAAGAAAAGGAGUGAAUCCGAACAAUAAGAGAAGGAGUUAACUGAUUGUUUAGGUAUAACAAAAGUUAGUAAGAGAAUAAAUUUAUGAGUACUCAUCAUUGAUAAUAAAUGAAUACUUAAAUAUUGGCAUAAUUCAUAAACGACGACUUAUUAGAAGAUUAUAAUCUUUUGAUAAGAUUAAAGAGAUAUUUUUGUUCUAUUACAUACCACCUUACUGUGUAUCUCACCGACUAACAUGCAAAUAAUGUCGAUACAUUGAAGUUUAUCUCUGUUUCGAUAUUUUGUAUGUAUUUGUCUUAACUUUGCCAAAUAUUUUAAAUUUUAAUUA
Teleopsis dalmanni is the source of this 1577-nucleotide long non-coding RNA. RefSeq lists it as uncharacterized. The transcript has 5 exons. The record is from RefSeq and is a predicted model, not a curated record. NCBI's taxonomy places the organism in Eukaryota, Metazoa, Arthropoda, Insecta, Diptera, Diopsidae.